AAGGUGUUGCUUAACGGAGAUUUGAGACCAUCGAAAACCCAAAGGCUCUUUUAAGAGCCACCACAACGUCACUAAAGGGCUGUAAAUUCCUUAUUAGCGCUAGGAAGUUUUUUGGGUGGCCUUGCAGUCAAGAUCUACCGUGUUAAGGGAGCCUGAGAUAGAAGAAUGCUGACAAGUCAAAGCUGGAUGUGAGCAAGACCUCUUUGCUGACCAGCUGAGGAUUGCUUUGAGAGUUGCUAUUGGUAAUCAAGGUGCUUUUGCAGGUGAUUUUAGAUGCUCAGCAAGGUAUUAGGCUAGGAAUGUAGCUUGCCCUUCAGCCAUUCUCCAUGGAUCAACUGGCUCAAAUUAAAAUCAUGGCUUGGAAGAAUAUUCUUAUCAGUCCAAUGGGUAAAAUAGAGGAUAGCUACUGGCAAAUACUUUGUUUCACCCAAAUACAUAAAAAAGUCUGAUGUCAGCAUCUUCCUAGAACAAAAAUAUUUGUAUCUGUCCUACUUGAUAGCUAUUAGUUUCUGAAAAAAUCUGAACAGAUAUAUACCCAUAUUAAGUUUCUCUUUUGAAUUAACUAUUGUAAUGUAAAUAUUUUGUAAAAGUGGUUUCCAUGCAAGCCAGUAUGCAAAGAGAGGUCCUAAACAUGUUUUCAUCUGCAAGUCCCUCUUGUGGGCUUUUUCACAAUCUGAAUCACCUGUUGGUUACAGGCUUCAGUAACCAGCAGCAGUGGAGUUUGAACUUGGGCAGCCACAGAUCUCCUGCAGGCCUGGUCAGAACUGUCCUGCUGCAUCAUUGCCUCUCUCUUCUCUCACACUUUCAAGUCUUGGUGCAUCUUCGAGCUGGGUAUCAGCAUCUGUCAGGUUGUAGUUGUGCAAACUACACAACACUCUGAACAAACUGUCACAACACUCUGAACACUAAUUAAGAUUUCACAUCAUAUAUUAUAAAGUAUUUUGUCAGCUACUCCUAUUAUGGAAUUAAUUGCACUGGCUGUGAUAACAGGGUCUGACCCCAGGAUCCUGCUGAUUAAUGCACUUUUCCAAAUAAAAGGUUUCCAAUUUGUCUUUUUUUAGUUCUCAGGUUACAGCUUGAGCUGGGUGGAUCUGCAGAGAGAGCACUACACCAAAAAUUAACCUUCAAUCCCAUUCAGGCCACCCAGCUCUCAACUCCCAGGUUUGUCAGUAGCUUCUGGUCAAUUGUCUCUUUUGUUGGUUUUGUGGGGGGUUUUGGGAUUUUUUUUGUGGGUUUUUUUAUCUGACAUUACCUCAAUUCUUGGAGUUGUUUCCUUGGUCCUUCCUUACCUUUUUCAUUCUGCUUUGAGCUAGUUGAAUGUUAGCAGCAUUAGAUUUUAAAAAAAGCACUUUUAUUUUGGUCAGCUCUUGUGGCCUAAUGCUGUAAGCACUCCAGCCAUCAAUGCUUAAAUACUUAAUAUAUCAUGAGAAUAUGGAGAAAACAGUUAAUGAAAAUGUCCUGUGCAAUACUGUGAAGUAGCACAGGAUGGAAAGCUCUGUUCUCAGUUAAGUUGUUAUGGCAAUACCAGUUUUUAGUAAUAAAAACAACAAACUGAAGGAACAUUGAUAUAUAUAAGCAAUGCAAACUGAGCUUGAAUUAAACCAGUUUGUACAUUAAAAAUGCAAGCCCGUCUGGCUGGGCGCCUCAGCCCACAGUCUGUGAUGACUGAUAGGGUUCAGCAAAACAAAUCCUGCAGCUCCAGGGACACUGGGGUGGCAAAAGCCAUGCCCCAGCCUUGCUCACUCCACACUGGUUUCAUCUGUGCCACCCAUGGUGCCCUGCAUCUCAGUCUUUUAAAGGUGCUUUUAGGUUUGGCUCCAGAGGCACUGGUGCCACCAAAGACCUGCUGAGGUGAACGUGGCACUGCCCCAAUGUCGCUGUUGGAGCAGAUGCGACACAAAGCAGUUCCGUAAGAAACUUCAUCCAAGAUUUUAUUGUGCCUGUACACAGUGUUUUUAUACCCUUCUGGCCUUAUAGUGCACCCCAUUUAAGUUGCCAUCACCACAUCACCCCUCAAGUCCAUUGGUGGAAGCACUGUUUUGAGAAAGUAUCCCCAAAAAUCCAAAAUACAAUUUUGUUUUUCCUUGGUGUUUUUCUCAGCACAGAUGUUCCUUGUUUUCCUCUAUCUUUAUCUUCUUUUUUUUUUUCUCACACAUACAUAGGAAUUCUGCUGGCUUCUUCUUUCUGUUAACUCUUUCAUCUGCCCCUCAGCCUGCUGUGGACCCUCUCCACACCCCAACACUGCUUUCUCCACACCUUUCUCUUCCAGACCAUCCCUGGUGCUGGGCACCUUGGCCUCAGCCCAAGCCUGCUCUUAGGGAAAGGUUUCGGACUCACAAAACCCACACCUGCAGGGACACUGGGGCAGCAAAGAGCAUUUCAAGGGCAGCAUGGCCCUGCCCCAACACUGCUUCCUCCUCACCUUUCUCAUCUGGGUCACCUGUGGUGCUUUCUCAAGUCUACAUGUAUUGACAAUGUUCAGUUCCAUAUCUGUUUCCCAGUCCUUCAUGUUCUUUUACCCUCAAACACUGUGAGGUUUUGCUACUCCAUUAACAUGAAGAUGCUUUUUUAAUGGGCUUGAUCACUUUGUCUUUACACAUCAACCACGUCUGUACUCUGUGGUGCUGUCCUCUGUUCUCAUGUGGAGCUUAAUGUAAUUGAGAUAUUAAAAUACCAAAUUCUAUA
Molecule: long non-coding RNA, 2685 nt
Organism: Parus major (Great Tit)
Lineage: Eukaryota; Metazoa; Chordata; Aves; Passeriformes; Paridae
Exons: 2
Source: RefSeq, a predicted model, not a curated record